This 231-nucleotide ribosomal RNA is filed under the name Triticum aestivum (bread wheat). RNAcentral describes it as "partial small subunit ribosomal RNA". The record is from RNAcentral. Lineage: Eukaryota; Viridiplantae; Streptophyta; Magnoliopsida; Poales; Poaceae.
GGCCUGAUGAUGAUGACGUUUUUCAGCUGACAUGAACAUGGUGUUCUUGAUGUGGAUGAUGUAGCAGGCAAUGGCCACACCGGCCAAGGGUCACAUGAGCAAGUGAACCAGACACUCCUACUGGGGACGGCUCAGAUGCUAGAAGACAUAUGUUAUCAUAUUAUAGGCUCAUCUUCGCUGUUAUAAGUACCACACACAACAUAUGACAUCUCAUAUUACGCCUACACAGGC